This is a non-coding RNA of Mus caroli (Ryukyu mouse), 422 nucleotides long. NCBI's taxonomy places the organism in Eukaryota, Metazoa, Chordata, Mammalia, Rodentia, Muridae. The record is from RefSeq and is a predicted model, not a curated record.
UUGCCCUUGUAUCGUCUGUUAGGAAAGAAAACUCUCAAUUUUCUCUUAGUCAACAAUAUUGGAAUGAACUAUAGAUGGCUAUCCGCCUUUCUUGUACUCUGCUGCUGCCUUUGAAAAUUCAAGAAGCUCCAAGGCCAGUCCCGGGUGCUAUAAUUCAUGCCACCGAGUGUCUGAAACACAAGAUUCCCCGUGGAAGGACAAGAGCAAUAUCUCUGGGUAUGAACAGCAAUGAAAUAUGUGAGUGGAUCUCUGUCUUUCCAUUCCUCAAAAGCAAGGUUUGGGAGCUGAGCAGGUUCCUAUGUAUGUUGAGAUGAAGUUAAUAUAGAAAGGAAAGACUCUGAAGAAAAGUGAGAAUUAUAGUGUUCUUCCUAAGGAAAUGAGCAGCCCACAAAGCAUAAGGUAGGUGGACUGGAAUAUUGAUU